Molecule: long non-coding RNA, 4364 nt
Organism: Panicum hallii
Lineage: Eukaryota; Viridiplantae; Streptophyta; Magnoliopsida; Poales; Poaceae
Exons: 7
Source: RefSeq, a predicted model, not a curated record
ACCAUCCGUCAUUUGUUUUGUAUGAAUAUUCGAAUUGCAAAUCCUGCUGAUAGUAGAGGCAAGUGGAUCUUUUGUUGCAUUCAAGUGAUCAAUUAGCUUUGCAUUAGGCCUGUUAUUAUUUUUCUGAAAAAUGCUAUAACAAUUAUUAAAUUAUGGAACAGUUGGCUCAUAGCAGUUAAAUACGUUUUCUGCACCAUGAGCAUGACUGGGAACAUGGAGCCUUGGUUUUUGGCAAUGCAGGUCUUAGAAUUCAGAUAGUUGACUUCCGUCAUUUGAUUUGUCAGACUAUUUUUGGAAUGCAAGUCCUGCUCAUAGUAAAGAUAACUUGAUCUUUGUUGCAUUCAGUCAGCAAUCAAUUAUUUUUGCAGUAGGCCUGUUAUUGUUUUGCUGAAAAUUGCUAUAACACAGUUUUUUGAAAUCUGAAGGUGUUCGCUUGGUAGCAAGUUUUGGGUCUUUUUUCAGGAUGGUACAAACGUGUAGUGGUCCUGGUGAUAUAGCUAUACACUGAUAACACCUACCUUUGUCAGCCAGUUUUUUUAAUUGAUUAAGAUAGUUUGAUGGUGCAAUAUUUAAUUUGUUUGUUUAUCUGACAAACAUUCAUUUGCAGAUUUCCUUGUCCAUCGCCCUUUUUUCAUGCUAGCUAGACACACUACUUUUUAGAUUAUACAGUGAGUUCAGCUGUGUCCAUGAUUGCCAAAUAAAUUUAUUUCUUGUGUAAUACAAACUAGUUUUAUCUCUCUUAGAUAUGAAGAUAGUUGAACUGGGCAAGUGCAAUAGGUAUAAUUUGAGCUUAUUAACUUCUAAUUUAUGCUAGCAUCAUGUGAAAAAGUCUCACCUAUGGUUUAUUUGUUUUCUGCUGUUGAAGUGGACUUUUGGAUGGUACAUGGGUUUUGUUUUUGGACAUAUAUAGUAGUUUUGACAACGGAGGUACGAUGGACAGUUUACUAAGAUUGCUUGCUGAAUGCUGUAAAUAACAGAAAAUGGUCCCGAUAAUCUGGCACAUACAGCUGUACAUGAUUUUAUAGCAUUACACAUACUGAAAUCACUCAUUUUCUUUAUUGGUGUGGUUGCGAAGUAAAUAUCCACUGUCCCUAACACAUACACAGGUCUAUGUGCAGUAAAAUCACCAACAUGCUUAUGUUGACAACUCUAAUAUGGUAUGGAGCUUGCAUCCGAAUGGAGAGCAAUUUUCUAGGGGUCAGAAGAUUCCAAUCAGAAAAUGGGCACCUUGUAGAGCGCCGACAAGCAAAAAAAUAAUACUGCUAUUUGUUUUGCCACCGAGCUUGCUCUGAAACCUUGCAGGUACAAAUGUUUGGCCCUUGAAUUGUUUGCAAAAAAGUGCACUGUGACUACGGAUAACAUGUUGGGAGAUAUUGUGGUUAUGUCUGCCCAGUUUGCUCAAAUUUUUAUCAGAAUAUGCACUCUCUGCUGGGCCUUUUGUGGAAUUGUUAGAAGAGCUGUGGGCAAACUAUUUUUGUAGUCCUGGUUCUUUUCAGACAAUAGAAUAACAGUAUAUUCCAUACUGUAAUUGUAAUUAGCUCAUUUUGCAUACCCUCCAUUCUUUUAGAUACAAAUCUAGAGGAUUUUAAAAUUCCUCUGUUUAUUUGUCAUCAGAUGAUAAAAGAGUUCUCUAACUUAUGGUUAAGUUUUCGAGAUGUUCAACUCUUUCAUUCUCUUGUGAUAAGCAUCAAAAUUACAACGUUGAUGUAAUUCCUUUGUUGUUCAGUUUACAGGGUCUGAAUAAGAAGCAUCCCAACUUUCAUAAAUGGUUUGUAUUCAUCAUCAAUUCCUGUCAAGCAAAUAUCUACUGUUGCCAACAUAGACAAGUUUGUAUGCAUUAACAUCUCCUACAGGUGUAUGUUGCCAUCUCUGAUAUGGAGUGGAGUUUGGAUCUGAUUCGACUGGCAUGUUCAGAAAGUUCUAAUCAGAAAACGAGCACUUUGAAGAGCCGGAGCAGCGCACAGUGGCGCUGUUUGUGCUGGCACAGAGCACCCUCUGAAGCUUGCAGCUACUGAUGUUUGAAUUACUUUUAGAAAAGAGCAUAUUGUUUGGCAUAUGAAUCGUAUAUCAGGUUGACUGUUGCAAAAUGUGCUACACUUGUGAGGGCUGCUCAGUUAGCUCAAUUUGGGAUCAGUCUCUGCGUUCUGUGCUGGCCCCUUUUGGGAAUCUCGGAAGACAAAGUUGGUACAGAAAGUCAGAAUCUGUUCUAAUCACUGUACUUGUUCUUGUCACAGUUCGUCAAUAGAUUAAGUGUACAUACAUACUGUGAACUGUAAUUAUUUCCUUGUAUAUAUCCUCUUGAUAAAGGAACAGUAGAAUAAUUGUCAGAUGAUAACUGUGUUACUUUUAUUGUUAGUGUGCCAAUUAAUUUUCCAUGUCUGCAACCUUUUCAGUUUUCAUGUGAUGGGCAUCAACUCCUUUAGAAAAGAGUUUUCAGCAGCCUCCUGCAUUUUCAUGGGGUCCAUUCAAGUAUUUUUCUAUGUACGCGCACGGUGGCACGACCCGUCACAGGAGGUUGCGCCGGGCUGCACGCGUUCGACUGGCAGGGCAGUCAGUGGCAGGUGGACCCAGGCAUUCCGUUGACCGCGUUUAUCACCUGUGGUCAACGCUCGCACGGACUCGGGGGAAGCGGACCGUCACUGCGCGCUUCCUCAGGCACCUCCCUCUCAAGUCUCAGUUCUGCCACCUCCCCACGGCCCUCCGCCGCCGCCCUCCUCGCCUCCGGCGUCCAGCCGCCGCCACCGCGCGCUCGAUCCCGUCCUCCCUCACCGCGGUCAAUCAUGGAGCAGGAGCACAGCGCAAGAUGUCCAGCUCAUGGCUUCUAGCAGGCAAUUCUUGUCUUUGCCAAAGGACAUUGCUUCAUACACUGAUCAGAACAGCUGAACAGGUCAAUCACUGCCUCAAACUUCAGGAAGCAACAUAUUCAAUGCUGAGGGAACCGUCAUCCUGCAAGGUGUUGCUGAAUGCAAUUCGUCACGGAAUCAUCCAUCAAAGUCGCAUGGUAGCAAUUCCCCUCUCAGUGUCAACAAUUGUACGAUCAUGCAUAUUGUUCUCUGUUUUUAUCCGCAGUACACCAUUCUAGUGCCACCACGCCAGUACGCCACUGAUAAGGGCCUGCAUAAAGGAGAUUCUUUGCAAGACAGUGGUAUCAACUCUGAGAUUUAGGCCAUUUGAUCAAGUACAAAGAUGCAUGCUUCUGUGUUAGCUACACGUUUGAAGGCUAAGAGAUGCAAUCUUUCUUUGAACAAAAUGUGGCUCUGGAAAUAUCAUGCCUCUUUCAGCGAAAACGUUGUGCGUCUUGAAAGAACAAAGUAAAGAAAGAAGCAUCCAAAUCAACACAGCUCAUCAAAAGAGGAUUCUCUGAAGGUGAAGAUGAAAGGAUAAUAGAGUCCAUCUCUUAGACCUCAUCGCACAGGAGCCGCGAAUGCUAACAUUCUUGAUGAAUGCCUCUUGCAAAGUUGAAGAGUCAAGAACUAAGCAAACACCAAAAAGAAUCAAAGGAUUCUGGAGCAAUGGAGAUUGCUCUACAGAACACUAGCUUUUUCUCUCUCCUUCCUUUCUUUUCCAGGUGGGAACUAUCAAGGCAGAUAUAAGGGAUAAGAAUAUCUCUAUCCAAAUAUGCAAUCUUCCAUGCUUGUGCUGGAUGUUUGCGUCAUGUACAAAAACUAAGUCAGGAAAAAACUAGAGAAAAAAAUAUCAGAUAAUAUAUAUCUCACUUCCUUAAGAUGCCUGGAGCAUCAUACAGGGAAAGAUGCAGCAUAUGAAAAGCAAAGAUCGCAGCGUCGGAUCGUGGCAUCGCAAUGCCGCACAUCUGAUAAGGUCAGGCUGGUUUACAAAGCAGCGGCAGCUCAAUCUACUGAGAAAAGCCGAGGGCAAGUUGGCCAGAUUCCAUGCCACAGAUAAGGCCGGUCAGUGAGGCGGUGAGGGCCAGCCGGCUAUUAUGGAUGCUAUUCUGAAACCGGCUGAGGGGAUUGAUCCCUGGUUCAUUCGAAACCGGUUCAAUCAGCCAGUUGGAAUUGGUUCCAUGUGUUGUAUGACAAAGUAGUGGCCGUACCAUAUGGGUAUUGCCGGUCGUUGUCGGCACCAUUCUUGCUACGACAGACGCAACUUCCGAAUGGGUGUGCAUGGAGCAAUGGCGUCUGUGGUAUUUUUCAGGCUGAGGUAGGCACUGCAUGCCUUAACGGAUGGAGAAUGCAGGAACUUCACUAUACAAAUUUAAUGUGCCAAUAUGAAUUCUAGUGUACGCAAGGCUGUGUGCAACCAUAUAUCUGUAUACUAUAUGCUGAUUAAUCUAGAGACAAAGUUUCAAAUGUAAGUUCCGUUUCAAACAGUGAAAAUUUCUUGAAAAAUCCUAAUAUUCCAAA